AGUAAUGCGUGACCAGCCUGCCCCAUGCUCCAGAAUAGCUCUUGGAAACGGGUGGUAAUGCUGGAUGCUCCAACUUGACGCAUGUCUUGUUGGGAAAGUGUUUAGUGGCAUGGGAUGGGGUCGCGUCCUAUCAGCUUGUAGGCGGGGUAAUGGCCCACCUAGGCUUCGACGGGUAGCCGGCCUGAGAGGGCGGACGGCCACAUUGGGACUGAGAUACGGCCCAGACUCCUACGGGAGGCAGCAGC
RNAcentral lists this ribosomal RNA (245 nucleotides) under uncultured Gardnerella sp. RNAcentral describes it as "partial 16S ribosomal RNA". It matches the Rfam family "Bacterial small subunit ribosomal RNA", at positions 109 to 355 of the family's 1533-position model. Lineage: Bacteria; Bacillati; Actinomycetota; Actinomycetes; Bifidobacteriales; Bifidobacteriaceae. The record is from RNAcentral.